This 101-nucleotide Y RNA is filed under the name Prolemur simus (greater bamboo lemur). RNAcentral's name for it is "Y RNA (ENSPSMG00000005719.1)". It matches the Rfam family "Y RNA". From Rfam's summary of the family: Y RNAs are components of the Ro ribonucleoprotein particle (Ro RNP), in association with Ro60 and La proteins. The Y RNAs and Ro60 and La proteins are well conserved, but the function of the Ro RNP is not known. The record is from Rfam by way of RNAcentral. Lineage: Eukaryota; Metazoa; Chordata; Mammalia; Primates; Lemuridae.
GGUUGGUCUGAGUGCAGUGGUGUUUGCAGCUAAUUGAUCACAACCAGUUACAGAUUCCUUUGUCUUGCUCCACUCCUACUGCUUCACUUGACCAGCCUAAA